Molecule: ribosomal RNA, 581 nt
Filed under: uncultured bacterium
Lineage: Bacteria
Description: bacterial SSU rRNA
Rfam family: Bacterial small subunit ribosomal RNA
Source: RNAcentral
GAAUUCGCCCUUAGAGUUUGAUCCUGGCUCAGGAUGAACGCUGGCGGCGUGCCUAAUACAUGCAAGUCGAACGCUUUGUGGUUCAACUGAUUUGAAGAGCUUGCUCAGAUAUGACGAUGGACAUUGCAAAGAGUGGCGAACGGGUGAGUAACACGUGGGAAACCUACCUCUUAGCAGGGGAUAACAUUUGGAAACAGAUGCUAAUACCGUAUAACAAUGACAACCGCAUGGUUGUUAUUUAAAAGAUGGUUCUGCUAUCACUAAGAGAUGGUCCCGCGGUGCAUUAGCUAGUUGGUAAGGUAAUGGCUUACCAAGGCAAUGAUGCAUAGCCGAGUUGAGAGACUGAUCGGCCACAAUGGGACUGAGACACGGCCCAUACUCCUACGGGAGGCAGCAGUAGGGAAUCUUCCACAAUGGGCGAAAGCCUGAUGGAGCAACGCCGCGUGUGUGAUGAAGGGUUUCGGCUCGUAAAACACUGUUGUAAGAGAAGAAUGACAUUGAGAGUAACUGUUCAAUGUGUGACGGUAUCUUACCAGAAAGGAACGGCUAAAUACGUGCCAGCAGCCGCGGUAAUAAGGGCG